UACAGAGGUCUCAAGCGUUGUUCGGAUUCAUUGGGCGUAAAGGGCGCGUAGGCGGUUAUGCAAGUCUGGUGUGAAAUCUCGGAGCUCAACUCCGAAAUUGCACCGGAUACUGCGUGACUCGAGGACUGUAGAGGAGAUCGGAAUUCACGGUGUAGCAGUGAAAUGCGUAGAUAUCGUGAGGAAGACCAGUUGCGAAGGCGGAUCUCUGGGCAGUUCCUGACACUGAGGCACGAAGGCCAGGGGAGCAAACGGG
Molecule: ribosomal RNA, 253 nt
Filed under: uncultured bacterium
Lineage: Bacteria
Description: partial 16S ribosomal RNA
Rfam family: Bacterial small subunit ribosomal RNA
Source: RNAcentral